GGAGGUAUGUGGUUUAAUUCGAUCGCAACGCGAAGAACCUUAACCUGGUCUUGACAUCCCGGAGACCCUUAGGAAACUAGGGGUGCUUCCAUCUGGAAGAAUCUGGAGACAGGUGCUGCAUGGCUGUCGUCAGCUCGUGUCGUGAGAUGUUGGGUUAAGUCCCGCAACGAGCGCAACCCUUGCCUUUAGUUGCCAGCAGUUCGGCUGGGCACUCUAAAGGGACUGCCGGUGUUAAACCGGAGGAAGGUGGGGGAUGACGUCAAGUCCUCAUGGCCUUUAUGACCAGGGCUACACACGUACUACAAUGGCCGAUACAAAGGGCAGCGACACUGCGAGGUGAAGCCAAUCCCGUAAAAUCGGUCUCAGUCCGGAUUGGAGUCUGCAACUCGACUUCAUGAAGUUGGAAUCGCUAGUAAUCGUGGAUCAGCAUGCCACGGUGAAUACGUUCCCGGGCCUU
Molecule: ribosomal RNA, 457 nt
Filed under: uncultured Desulfobulbus sp.
Lineage: Bacteria; Pseudomonadati; Thermodesulfobacteriota; Desulfobulbia; Desulfobulbales; Desulfobulbaceae
Description: bacterial SSU rRNA
Rfam family: Bacterial small subunit ribosomal RNA
Source: RNAcentral